RNAcentral lists this ribosomal RNA (493 nucleotides) under uncultured bacterium. Its description in RNAcentral is "partial 16S ribosomal RNA". It matches the Rfam family "Bacterial small subunit ribosomal RNA", at positions 27 to 507 of the family's 1533-position model. The record is from RNAcentral.
GAGUGAACGCUGGCGGUAGGCCUAACCCAUGCAAGUCGAACGGCAGCACAGUAAGAGCUUGCUCUUACGGGUGGCGAGUGGCGGACGGGUGAGGAAUACAUCGGAAUCUACUUUUUCGUGGGGGAUAACGUAGGGAAACUUACGCUAAUACCGCAUACGACCUACGGGUGAAAGCCGGGGAUCUUCGGACCUUUCGCGAUUGAAUGAGCCGAUUUCGGAUUAGCUAGUUGGCGGGGUAAAGGCCCACCAAGGCGACGAUCCGUAGCUGGUCUGAGAGGAUGGUCAGCCACACUGGAACUGAGACACGGUCCAGACUCCUACGGGAGGCAGCAGUGGGGAAUAUUGGACAAUGGGCGCAAGCCUGAUCCAGCCAUACCGCGUGGGUGAAGAAGGCCUUCGGGUUGUAAAGCCCUUUUGUUGGGAAAGAAAAGCAGCAGGUUAAUACCCCGCUGUUCUGACGGUACCCAAGGAAUAAGCACCGGCUAACUUCGUG